UUGGAUGGAGUUUCUUCACAAUUUGCUCAAGCAUUUCAUUUCUCAAGCGCGCCACGUUGGCUUUCGACCGAGGUCAAAACUGAGGUGACUCUUUGAACGGAGCCGUUUAUUUCUUCAAGAGACACCCGGCGUUUCAUCGACAAACGCAGCAGCACACAAGUUGAGGUUAACACGUCAUGUCAGUUCUGCGAUCCGUCUUCAACCGCCAGCCGUUUUUUUGUUGGUUUUUGUGGUGUCCGAUUGAGGUGCGGCAUUUAUUCGUUCAGUACUGUACUCGAUAACGAUUCAUUGCAUUUAUUUUAUUUUUUUUUUACUCUGAAGUAAAGUCCAGCUUUACAGAUGCCACGAUGCUUUACACCAGACCCGGGCAUUCGACGGCUGAGGGCCCAACUUGGCCCCCGGGCCGGCUCCUGCUGGCCCGGGAAGAAUUGCUGGGAAUCAAGAAAAUAAAAGCGAGGGUGCUCUCAAAAUUUGUGAGGAUGCGUGUUGGGCCGCGGGCCGGCUCUUCUCGGCCUGCCAAGAGUUGCUUGGAAUAAAGAAAAUGAAAACCGACUUUCACCAUUCUCCAAAGUGCGCGGAGCGAAAGAGCGGAAGUCUUACUUUGAAAGGCGUUUUGGUUGCGCGGGCGUCGGUGGCGAACAGGUGCUCUGGGCCAAUCCGCCUGAUUGGCGGCAGGUGGCAAUGGCGGUCACCCUUCCCAACGGUCGCCCGAGCCCGGCUCGGCUUUGCCAAGGCCGUUUCACCGAGCUAGCUACGCGCGGCAACCGGGACCGGAUGUGUGGUAGACCGCGACGUCGCCUAGAACGCCGAGACAUUUUCGGAGGUGGGGGAGAUUCCUUCGGGAGCGACGAAACGACUUCGGCCAAGGCAGGAGACAAGGGGCCGCUUCCUGCAAGGACGGCUAAUCUGCCGACAGCAGGGGUCGUCGGAUGCCAACCUUAAAAGGGCCACAAGUGCACUGGACAACUACUGGUGAGGAGGUGUUCCACAUGGCUCCACACUCGAUCCACUCGACAUCAAGCCAAUCAAAGUCACGUGAGCGUUCCG
Long non-coding RNA from Hippocampus comes (tiger tail seahorse), 1047 nucleotides. RefSeq lists it as uncharacterized. The transcript is spliced from 2 exons. The record is from RefSeq and is a predicted model, not a curated record. NCBI's taxonomy places the organism in Eukaryota, Metazoa, Chordata, Actinopteri, Syngnathiformes, Syngnathidae.